Non-coding RNA from Xenopus laevis (African clawed frog), 47 nucleotides. The record is from Rfam. NCBI's taxonomy places the organism in Eukaryota, Metazoa, Chordata, Amphibia, Anura, Pipidae.
AAAAAGGCCCUUUUUAGGGCCCUUCUAUUUUAUGCCAAAUAUGUAGU